RNAcentral lists this long non-coding RNA (322 nucleotides) under Elaeis guineensis (African oil palm). Its description in RNAcentral is "long non-coding RNA (EGUI_LNC057211)". The record is from RNAcentral. Lineage: Eukaryota; Viridiplantae; Streptophyta; Magnoliopsida; Arecales; Arecaceae.
ACCUCUUUUCUUCCUCUAUCUAUGAGUUUUCUAAGAGUGUCUUACAUCUAAAACUCCUUCUCCUACUUUUUAUCUUUGAAAGAGUCUAAAUCAAGAAGAAGGAGGCAUCUGAUCGACCAUCGAAGAAGGAUCAGCACAAUACUAGCAUACUAUGUUGAUUUCCUGGACCAGGACUUCUGAUCGUGAUUCGUGGGCUCGUGUGGAUGACUCCUAGAGGUCGGAUGCAUGUGCAGCUCGCAACAUCAUCCUUAAGCCCAGAUCAGCAAAGUUAGAACAUCUAACUUGCAAGGUAAUAGAUCUGAUCUAUUAUAUUUUACAUACA